Long non-coding RNA from Oncorhynchus tshawytscha (Chinook salmon), 1042 nucleotides. The record is from Ensembl. Lineage: Eukaryota; Metazoa; Chordata; Actinopteri; Salmoniformes; Salmonidae.
GCAAAAAUCACUGAAGCUGGAGACUCAUAUCUCCCUCACUAGCUUUAAGCACCAGCUGUCAGAGCAGCUCACAGAUCACUGCACCUGUACAUAGCCCAUCUGUAAACAGCCCAUCUAUCUACCUACCUCGUCUCCAUACUGUAUUUAUUUAUUUAUUUUGCUCCUUUGCACCCCAGUAUCUCUACUUGCACAUUCAUCUUCUGCACAUCUACCAUUCCAGUGUUUAAUUGCUCUAUUGUAAUUACUUCGCCACCAUGGCCUAUUUAUUGCCUUACCUCUCUUAUCUUACCUCAUUUGCAUAUGCUGUAUAUAGAUUUUUCUACUGUAUUAUUGACUGUAUGUUUGUUUAUUCCGUGUGUAACUCUGUUGUUGUUUGUGUCGAACUGCUUUGCUUUAUCUUGGCCAGAUCACAGUUGUAAAUGAGAACUUGUUCUCAACUUGCCUACCUGGUUAAAUAAAGGUGAUCUGGCCUACCUGGUUAAAUAAAGGUGAUCUGGCCUACCUGGUUAAAUAAAGGUGAUCUGGCCCACCUGGCUAAAUAAAGGUGAUCUGGCCUACCUGGCUAAAUAAACGUGAUCUGGCCUACCUGGCUAAAUAUAGGUGAUCUGGCCUACCUGGCUAAAUAAACGUGAUCUGGCCUACCUGGCUAAAUAAAGGUGAAAUAAAAAACAAGUAAAAAAUGUGUAUCAUCACAAUAUUAGGAAGGUGUUCCUAAUGUUUGGUAUACUGAGUGUAUAUUCCCUACAUAGUGCACUACUUUAACCAGGGUAGGGAAUAGGGUGCCAUUAGGGACACAUAUUCUGUUAGCAGAGGAAUGCUGCAUGAGGCUCUCUGCCCUGAUAACCAUUUGCACUAACAAUCUCACAAUAUGAAACAUAAUUGUCCAAUACUGUCAACUUUCUAACCCUGUCUCCUCUUCCUCUCUAUCACUGUCUCUUCUCCUCUUCCUCUAUCCCUGUCUCCUCUCCUCUCCCUCUCUAUCCCUGUCCCUUCUCCUCUCCCUCGCUAUCCCUGUCUCCUCUCCUCUCCCUCUCUAUCCCUG